UAGCUCCUCCGGGGCCAGUCCCCUGCCUGAGGGGCCCUGCUUGCACCACAGGCCAGGCUUCCUCACCUGCGGCUUCUUAGCCUUUGCCCCUUCCUCGUUUUUUUUUCUCCGCACGUGUUGAGAGUUUUCCUCAAGUUUAGUAUUUAAGCAGAAAGCGUACGCGCAGCUGUGAGGCGAAAGCGCAGAGCUCAUUCUAUAAAGGAAGGGCCUCUGCGGUGGAGCUGAGUGUGUCUUCAGAACACCUCUGGAGAUUGGACAAUUCACAGCCCGGUACGUCUACAUCUUAGCCCAAAUCUCUUGCUGCUUCCAGUCCUGUGUCCUUGCCGUCCCCAAGCUCGUGGCCUCUGCUCUUCCUCUUCCACACCCACCUAGCUCUGCAGCCUCCGCCCCAUGACUUCUGCUUCAGGGAUGACCUGUUACUGGGGCAGACUUAUGUACUGCCGGAAACAACUAGACCACAGACAAAAUACGGAGAAUGAUCUUCAGACAGCGGGCAGCAGGCAGCGCUGGGGCAUAAUCCGGGAGAGAACAGAAAUGAAUGAGGGGUGCAGACCAAGUCCAAAUUCAUUCAAAAUCUCUCCUGGAGGCAUCCCCCACAAACAGGGGAGAAUGGGAGAAGAAUUUUGGAUAAACAAAUAUGCUAAUAAAAAAUAAACACCAGUGUGGGGAGCAACUCGGACUAUACUGUUACUGGAAUUAAGACUUAUUCUAUGCAUCUGCUCUCCCACAAUAUGGCGCUGGGAGAGGAGAAAAUAGCUUCUACGCAGCUGCCUCCAGUUCAACCAAUAAACUGUAGGACCUACUCCUGAUUGGAGGAGAGCAGCGUACUCGGCAUGUGGGCAGCCGAGUUAGGAUUGGCGGAGGAGGACUAUAAAGGAGGAGAGAGACGGCAUGCACCAGGAACAUCUAUGGGGAACAUCUAGCUGAAGGAACACCUGUGCAGCCCCCGAGAAGAGCCGGCCGGCGGUGUGCCGCUCCCCUGCGGAAGUGGGGAAUGCGGCCAGGGGGAACUGCCCUUCCACGGAGGUGGAAGGGAUGGUGGCCAGCCCGGGAAGAACCAGCAGCAAACCCGGGGAGGGCCGAGCAGACAGAAAGAACAGCGCAGGGUCCUGUGUCGUUCCUCCACGAAGACGGGGAGCGACAUAGUGGUGCCGUGAC
Molecule: non-coding RNA, 1158 nt
Organism: Oryctolagus cuniculus (rabbit)
Lineage: Eukaryota; Metazoa; Chordata; Mammalia; Lagomorpha; Leporidae
Source: RefSeq, a predicted model, not a curated record